Non-coding RNA from Trichonephila inaurata madagascariensis, 73 nucleotides. The record is from the annotation of a GenBank genome assembly. NCBI's taxonomy places the organism in Eukaryota, Metazoa, Arthropoda, Arachnida, Araneae, Nephilidae.
GUCCCUGCAGCGCAAUGGGUAGCGCGUUGGGCUUCUAAUCCAAAGAGCGUGGGUUCGAGUUCCACCUGGGAUU